This 810-nucleotide ribosomal RNA is filed under the name uncultured Actinomycetes bacterium. RNAcentral describes it as "bacterial SSU rRNA". It matches the Rfam family "Bacterial small subunit ribosomal RNA", at positions 28 to 850 of the family's 1533-position model. Lineage: Bacteria; Bacillati; Actinomycetota; Actinomycetes. The record is from RNAcentral.
GACGAACGCUGGCGGCGUGCUUAACACAUGCAAGUCGAGCGGUAAGGCCCCUUCGGGGGUACACGGGCGGCGAACGGGUGAGUAACACGUGAGCAAUCUGCCCAUCACAUCGGGAUAACUCCGGGAAACCGAAGCUAAUACCGAAUACGACCACCUCCGGCAUCGGAUGGUGGUGGAAAGUUCCGGCGGUGAUGGAUGAGCUCGCGGCCUAUCAGCUUGUUGGUGGGGUAAUGGCCCACCAAGGCAACGACGGGUAGCCGGCCUGAGAGGGUGACCGGCCACACUGGGACUGAGACACGGCCCAGACUCCUACGGGAGGCAGCGGUGGGGAAUAUUGGACAAUGGGCGAAAGCCUGAUCCAGCAACGCCGCGUGAGGGAUGACGGCCUUCGGGUUGUAAACCUCUUUCAGCGGGGACGAAGCGAAAGUGACGGUACCCGCAGAAGAAGCACCGGCCAACUACGUGCCAGCAGCCGCGGUAAUACGUAGGGUGCGAGCGUUGUCCGGAAUUAUUGGGCGUAAAGGGCUCGUAGGCGGUUUGUCGCGUCGGGAGUGAAAACUCAGGGCUUAACCCUGAGCCUGCUUCCGAUACGGGCAGACUAGAGGUAUGCAGGGGAGAACGGAAUUCCUGGUGUAGCGGUGAAAUGCGCAGAUAUCAGGAGGAACACCGGUGGCGAAGGCGGUUCUCUGGGCAUUACCUGACGCUGAGGAGCGAAAGUGUGGGGAGCGAACAGGAUUAGAUACCCUGGUAGUCCACACCGUAAACGUUGGGCGCUAGGUGUGGGACUCAUUCCACGAGUUCCGUGCCGCA